This 1529-nucleotide long non-coding RNA is filed under the name Sinocyclocheilus grahami. Its description in RNAcentral is "lncRNA (ENSSGRG00000031491.1)". The record is from RNAcentral. Lineage: Eukaryota; Metazoa; Chordata; Actinopteri; Cypriniformes; Cyprinidae.
AUGCAAAGUGGCUCUGUGAAUAGGUUAUUGUUAGAGGUCAGACUGUAGAGCUCAGGAUCAGAUCAGGACCAUCAGUGGACAGGAGAGUAUUGUGGGCAGAGUGAGUAUUUACCUUCAGUUGAUUUAUCUGAAGAGUCUAGUUCAUCUGUUAACUGAUGAUGUUUUCAUUACGCCACAAGAUCUUGACCUGACCUGAGACUGACAACCAGCGAAUCAACAAAAACAGAUGUGAGAUGAAUACACUGUGGCUGCCUCUUCUUCUGAGCUCAGUCAUAUGGGCAGAGGAGCAGUAUUUUCCUCAGUUACCCAAUGCCACAUGGGACGAUGCCAGACUCUACUGUCAGUCCUGUUUCAAAGAACUGAUGACCAUCACCUGCAGUAACGUCCACCUCAUUGUGAAGAACCUUUCUUCGGACUACUGGGUUGGACUCCGCAGGAGUUACAAUGGCUCCUUCCCUUGGGCUGAAUGGUCCAAUGGGGAUCCUGUUACAUAUCAGAAUUGGUACCCUGGUCAUCCUGUUCCAAAUAAAGAAAAGAAACUGAUUCCUAUAUGUUCCUCAACUACAGAAAGUCCACUGAGCACCCUAAUAACUACCACAACAUCUACCCUAAUGACCUCACUAGAAACCUCCACAGUAACUUCUGCUCCGGUAACCUCUCCAAAGACUUCCACAAUAUUUCAAACUGAAAAAGCAGAGGAUACAUGUCCUAUACUGACUGAUAUCCUUGAUUGCUUAAAUAUGACAUGUUAUGAUCUUGAAAGUGCCAUGACUAUGUGUAAUAGAACAACAACUGUCACCCCUAAGACCACAACAUACAACACUGCCCCUGAGGUCACAACAUUUAGCACCACUUUUAAUGCCGCAACAAACGGCACCACAACCGAAGGCGCCACAACUGAGGGUCCCACAACCGAAGGCGCCACAACUGAGGGUCCCACAACCGAAGGCGCCACAACCGAGAGCACCACCACCAGCAACUGCAUCUCUGAACCCGCGCCAGAUCCUGAACAGUACAUCGAGGAUGCUUGUGUGGUCCUGCUCAGCUUCGGCAUGUGGAAGGAAGAAGACUGCAAUAAAAGUCUACCCUACAUCUGUUAUGAAGAGCGCUUUUUUGGCCAGAUAUACGUUUCCGACGUGAACACAAGUGCAGCCAAUCUGAGCUGGACUGAGGGGCCCGGUGCUGAGAACAUCAGUCACUACAGAGUGGAGAUCACUGAGGACAAUAACCAGACAUUUAAUCAGACAUUUAACCAGACAUUUUUCCAGACUGAGCUGUUUGAACACAUACAAAAUCUGACAGCAGGAACUCUGUACAGAGUUCAGAUGUUUCCUGUGAAAUGUGGCAGGGAUCUCAAUCCGCAGAAUAUCUCCUUCUACACCCAGCCCUCUGAUGUGCAAAAUCUGACAAUAGUCGGUAUGACAAACGUUAGCGCCAACCUCAAGUGGAGGAAUCCAGAAGGAAACCACGACUUCUACUCAGUACAUGUCGAAUGCAAGUUAAAUAAAUCUAUUCAUGACAAAGUCGAA